AUUGAACGCUGGAGGCAUGCUUUACACAUGCAAGUCGAACGGUAACAGGCCUUCGGGUGCUGACGAGUGGCGAACGGGUGAGUAAUGCAUCGGAACGUACCCAGAGGUGGGGGAUAACGCAGCGAAAGCUGUGCUAAUACCGCAUGUGAUCUGAGGAUGAAAGCGGGGGACCGAGCAGCAAUGUUUGGCCUCGCGCCUUUGGAGCGGCCGAUGUCGGAUUAGCUAGUUGGUGGGGUAAAGGCCUACCAAGGCGACGAUCCGUAGCUGGUCUGAGAGGACGACCAGCCACACUGGGACUGAGACACGGCCCAGACUCCUACGGGAGGCAGCAGUGGGGAAUUUUGGACAAUGGGCGCAAGCCUGAUCCAGCAAUGCCGCGUGCGGGAAGAAGGCCUUCGGGUUGUAAACCGCUUUUGGCAGGAACGAAACGGUGUCCGCUAAUACCGGGCGCUAAUGACGGUACCUGCAGAAUAAGCACCGGCUAACUACGUG
RNAcentral lists this ribosomal RNA (492 nucleotides) under uncultured bacterium. Its description in RNAcentral is "partial 16S ribosomal RNA". It matches the Rfam family "Bacterial small subunit ribosomal RNA", at positions 29 to 507 of the family's 1533-position model. The record is from RNAcentral.